ACAUUUCUGUACAAGUAAUCAAAACUUAAUAGGCUUGCCAUAAAAAUACAAAACUUACAAAGCCUACUAAGAAUUGCAAUUAAUAUUUUAAUAAUUUAGAGAACACAAUAUCAUUACAUGGACAUAUAACACUUGCUAUAUAAACAAAAAAUGAUGACAUAUUAAAUCCUGAUUCAUAAUCAAAUUGAUGACAUAUGAAUGUAGCGAUUCAUUUCUUAUAACUUGUACACAACAUAGAAGUAUAAAACCAACAGAAACAAACCAGUUGGACCAUCCAGAAACAUACUGUGGCAAAAAACCAAACUGCAUAUAUUAACUUGACCAUAAGAUGAGAAAAGCAUUAGAUUCUUCCAUCUCUUCAAAAUACAUAUGGUAUCCUGAAUACAUGAAAUAAAACUAAUUAGAAUGAAAGGAAGAGACACCAAAAAUCUUUUUAAACUCAUUUACAACAUUAAAUUGCUUCAAAUUGCUAAAAUACUAUCUGUAAGGCUCGACAAUUAAAACAUAAUAGAAUAUAAACAAUAUUCAUUGAAUUGCCAAUAAGGACAAGAACACUAUGAUGACCGCAUAUGUCCAAGACAAGCACAUGCACAGAUAUAAAGAAAAAAGGUCCACAUAAGUCUAACCUUAUUAACAAUCCAGAGCAAAACCGAGCACAUGCUUAGAUGAACUAAAAAAGAGAUGUAGCACAGUGAUAACAAGAGUUAAGUCUCAAAGUAUGAAUGACACUUAACUCUAUUAUUAGAUUGCUCUAGCGGCUUCAAAUAUCUCAGCUUUGCGUUUGCAAACAACUCUCAAGAUAGUUAACGAAGGAUUUUUCGUCUGUGGCCGUAUUCUGGUUUGCCUCAAAUAUUACCUGCAUUCAAAUUAAUAAGAGUGCUUAGUUAAACCUUUUAAUAGCAGUGAUACUCAUUAUACAUGUCAAUUUAUUUAAUAUAGGAUUCCAAAAAUUCAAAAAUAUACUUUGACUAAUACAUGGGAUCAGAAGGCAUUGGGUCUAAGUUGAGCGCGUUGUUGCUUUAGUUAAGCUAGUAACCAGCUUGCUAACUUUGUGUCUUUUAGGGAUAAAAGUCACAUAAACCAUACUGCAUCAGCCACAAAUGCAAAGUUAUUAAUGACAAGGCCCUCAUAAUCUCACAUGGCAUUCUCUUUUCUGUUGACAAUGAAUCAUGCUUAUCAAUUGCUACAAGUCAAAAACAAAUUAACACACAACCUACAUCAAAUGUUUAAAUAUGGUAACAUUAUUAAAUGGAUGGGCAAAAGCACAAGUAAUCAAGUAUUGACCCGAAUAACCCAUACGCUUAUCAUUGAUUAAAAACAACAAAUCAAAUGUAGUAGAACCUGCAUAAUAAAUGUUCAUAAGUGCCUAGUAAGCAAGGUGAGUCAUUUAAUUCUUACCUUUCUACCAAACAGCUGUGUCUUUCCUAAACCUCAUUUCAUAGAACAUUGGGAUGUCUGUGUGUCCAUCAGUACCUGGUCAGCAAGACAGGUCAUUUAAAAUUUAGAACCUUUCUACCAAAUGGUUGUCUAUCUUAUACUUCAUUUCAUUUCAUAAUAUCACACGUACCUGGUGAGCAAGACAAGCCCUGAUUCAAUACAUUACAUAAAGUGAGAAUCGUCUACAUCAACUAUCGUAAUUUUACAGAUCUUUCACCUGCAAUGAAAUAUUCAAUAAAUUACACCUGAAUUAAGAACCUUUAACAAUUGAUGCAAACAUUAUAUUUCUGACCGACCAGGAGUGCUCAACUGCAGAAGAUAAAUAGAUUUAUUGAACAUAUUUUAGUACAUCUAAACAAGUGUUCUAAGUGACACAUAACAAAAAAACAAAAGGAAUCCAAUGGACACUAAAGUUGUUGAACUGCUGGAAACCCUUGGCAUUUUUCCAUACUACAACAACUCUCUGAAUAGAAUGCACAAGCUAUUAAAAUGCAUCUUUUUUUUUCAAAUGUACAAAGGUGAUUGAAUUAUGGCAGGUUCUAUUUGGAAGUACCACCCAGAUUUGGGACCUGGUCCGGGGGCAAAUAAGGUGGAAACUUUUCUUGCAGGUUGGCCAUAACUGGGAAGUGAUGAACUAAGUAAUGCUAUUGGGGCAAUGGCACCUUAUGCUAUCCUAUGGAUGAUAUGGACUAUACGGAAUGAGUGAAUAUUCAGCAAUGCAAGUUUCGAGAGCAGAGAAGCCGCAAGAAGAAUUAGAGCAACAGUUUGGGGAUGGCUCGAAGUGGACAAGGUGAAACUGCAGCACAAAACAUGCCACAGUUUCAGGGAAAUAGGCCAGGGGUGGGAACAUCUAUUCUCUGGUGCAGGACAACACUGGCAGACACAGUAACUACUCUUGGACUGUAAAGUUUUAGGCAACCAUGUUUUAAGUCUGGUUGGUAUGUGCUUUUGUAUUGUAGGUUCUCUUCUGUGUAACCUGACGGGGAUUCACCUAUUGAUCAGGGUUGUAAAGUUUGAAUGUUACUCAAUAAAAUUCUAUUUCAUACCAAAAAAAAAAAAAAAAAAUCCUUGAUAAAGCUAUGCUUAAGGACACCUUGAUUACUCCAAUUAGAUCCAUCACAGUAAUGAUGGCAUACAAAGACUUACAGUUGCUUCAAUUGUUAUAUACUAUCACAUUACAAAAUCAAUUGGCUUAAUAAAAACGACCAUAAUUAACAAACUAAGGAAUUAUGGUUUCAUCUACGACUUGCAAAAAUGUAAGCAUAACUUCCAAAAUUUUAAGUUGCUUUAAUUCUAAAGUAGGAAAAGAAAUUGAAGAAAAUUCCAAAUUAUCAAAGAUAGAAAACAUUACCUGAAAAGUACACCAAAAAACACUAUCUAGCACAAAGAAGAAAACCCUACUUGAUUUUAAAUCGGAAUCAAUUGAACAACCAAAUCCAAUUAUGAACUAUUUUAUACGAAGAGCGCAAGAGCAAGGGGGGAAGAACAAAAAGCAUUCAAGAGAAAUAAAAUACAAACAAUUUGAGAGAUGGUGAAAGCGUUGAUAGGAGAAGAAAGCUCAUUCUCGGUUGGAGUCUUGGAGAAGGAGAAGACAGAGCUUGGGAGGAAGUUAUUUUCCAUCCACGCCUUGUUUUCCAUGACGUGAUUAAAUUUGAUCUGGUGAAUAUAAUCAGUAACACAUACAGACUGUUACUAUGAUUUUUCUUUACCAUUAGAAAAUAAUUCAGAAUAUUAUUUAUUUAAGACUAAGAGCAUUCCC
This 3196-nucleotide long non-coding RNA is filed under the name Aquilegia coerulea. RNAcentral describes it as "long non-coding RNA (ACOE_LNC000528)". Lineage: Eukaryota; Viridiplantae; Streptophyta; Magnoliopsida; Ranunculales; Ranunculaceae. The record is from RNAcentral.